GACGAACGCUGGCGGCGUGCCUAAUACAUGCAAGUAGAACGCUGAAGCUUGGUGCUUGCACCGAGCGGAUGAGUUGCGAACGGGUGAGUAACGCGUAGGUAACCUGCCUGGUAGCGGGGGAUAACUAUUGGAAACGAUAGCUAAUACCGCAUAAGAGUAGAUGUUGCAUGACAUUUGCUUAAAAGGUGCAAUUGCAUCACUACCAGAUGGACCUGCGUUGUAUUAGCUAGUUGGUGAGGUAACGGCUCACCAAGGCAACGAUACAUAGCCGACCUGAGAGGGUGAUCGGCCACACUGGGACUGAGGCACGGCCCAGACUCCUACGGGAGGCAGCAGUAGGGAAUCUUCGGCAAUGGACGGAAGUCUGACCGAGCAACGCCGCGUGAGUGAAGAAGGUUUUCGGAUCGUAAAGCUCUGUUGUAAGAGAAGAACGAGUGUGAGAGUGGAAAGUUCACACUGUGACGGUAUCUUACCAGAAGGGACGGCUAACUACGUG
This 496-nucleotide ribosomal RNA is filed under the name uncultured bacterium. Its description in RNAcentral is "partial 16S ribosomal RNA". It matches the Rfam family "Bacterial small subunit ribosomal RNA", at positions 28 to 507 of the family's 1533-position model. The record is from RNAcentral.